This is a non-coding RNA of Aedes aegypti (yellow fever mosquito), 72 nucleotides long. NCBI's taxonomy places the organism in Eukaryota, Metazoa, Arthropoda, Insecta, Diptera, Culicidae. The record is from Rfam.
UGGUCGGUAGCUCAGUUGGUGUAGCACUUGUCUAGCAUACAAGACUCGAGGGUUCGAAUCCAACCUGAGCAC